CAAUAGCGUAUAUUAAAGUUGUUGCAGUUAAAAAGCUCGUAGUUGGAUUUCGGGGCAGCCUGGCUGGUCCGCCGCAAGGCGAGUACUGGUCAGCCGCCCUUCCUCUCGAAAGCCCCGACUGCUCUUCAUUGCAGUGGUCGGGUAGUUCGGGACGUUUACUUUGAAAAAAUUAGAGUGUUCAAGGCAGGCCUACGCCUGAAUACAUUAGCAUGGAAUAAUGGAAGAGGACCUCGGUCCUAUUUUGUUGGUUUCCAGGGCCGAAGUAAUGAUUAAGAGGGACAGUUGGGGGCAUUCGUACUUAAUUGUCAGAGGUGAAAUUCUCGGAUUUAUGAAAGACGAACAACUGCGAAAGCAUUUGCCAAGGAUGUUUUCAUUAA
This 377-nucleotide ribosomal RNA is filed under the name uncultured eukaryote. RNAcentral describes it as "partial 18S ribosomal RNA". It matches the Rfam family "Eukaryotic small subunit ribosomal RNA", at positions 592 to 976 of the family's 1831-position model. The record is from RNAcentral.